Molecule: long non-coding RNA, 1118 nt
Organism: Anolis carolinensis (green anole)
Lineage: Eukaryota; Metazoa; Chordata; Lepidosauria; Squamata; Anolidae
Exons: 5
Source: RefSeq, a predicted model, not a curated record
CCUGUUAUGAUCUCAGCAGAUGCAACCAUGAUGGUCAGGCUCUCAUAGGCAGCUCUGGGGUUGUCAAGGAGUGAUGGUAGUGACAUAACAAGGGGAUGGGCCAGUGGGGACAAUGUGGUCAUGGCCCAGAUGGAUCAUCUGCACAUUGACACAGCAUUGCAGGGGAUUCAGCUCUGUGUUUGUAGCUGCCAGCAUGGUUGAUCUGGGAUAAUGCAUAAUGCUCCAAACUGGCCUGAGAUUAAGCAGCCAAUGUAAACAUAGACCAUUUAUUUCCUCAGAUGAUUCCUGUUCGAUAUGAUCAAGCAAUCUAUACCUCAUUGAAGUCAUCAGAUGGAAAACCAGUAAAGUGACCUGUUGUUUUUCUCAUUUUGCCUCUGAUCCUCGAGCCUGUAUUUUAAUCAGUAGGAGCUAUGGUUAACCCUAUCCUCCAUGAUUUACCCCCAGGACUUUUCUAAAGCUAGUUGUGUUGGUAGACCAGCAUGACACAUUGAGCUAGCAAAUUUCACAUUUAGGAACACAUAGCAUGAAGACAUUUUUAUCUGCCUUGAAUUUCUCACCAUUCAGCUUCAUUGGCUCACAUAUUAUGAGAGAUGGGAGGACAAGUGAAUGAACAUUGUUUGACCAACAGUGACCUGGGAAGAUCUGCAAAUAGUCAAGGUCCAUCAAGGAAUCAAAUGGUCCAUGUGGGCCUGCGGCAAGGUGUGGCAGCAUGAAGUAGAUCCUGACUACUUGACUUGAGCUUCCACUGGGCCAGGAUUAUGGAGGUGUGGGCUUUAUUGCUCUGAAGGCAAAAUGUUUUGGGUUGGACUCCAUCUUGAGCCGCAAGGAGAGGCAGGUAAUAAGAAAGAUGAGUCACAUGCUUUCCAUGAUCACUGUCAGCAUGACUUCGAGAUGCACCAACAGAAGCUGCCAUAGAAGGAGAUACAACCACAAAGCUGGGGAGUUCACCUGGAUUCUGCAAAGCUGGGAGCCACUUGCCAUAACUGCUGAUUGCAUCAAGGGUAAUUGCUGAAUGGAGUUUUUUAUUACAGCUUUGGGAAUCAUUCCCUCAGCGUGAGGCUAUGGAUGAAUUAGCUCCUUCUUUCUAAUAAAAUAAAACCAUUUAUGUAUGUCCCAGA